UCCCGGAGGGCAGUGGGGUGAACAGUCUUUGAUGAUGCUACGCGCCUUACGUAAGCAUCGCUUGCCCUGGAUAGCCUCGAUGGAGGGGAGUGGGGAACCGUUGAUGCAUUGGGCAAUUUUCACCACCCUCUGAAAUGCUUUACGGUCGGAGGCAAAGCAGUUGCCAUACCAUACUGUGACCGUUGGUGAGCAGGGACGUGCACAGGGGGGUUGCUCAGGUUGCCCUACCUACUGUAACGCACACGCGUCCAGCUUGCUCCAAUCACCACGCAGCCACUGCUCAUUUCCUACCAAUGGAAUAUUCUCUGCUUCAUUUCCUGCCAAUCAAACGGCGCACCGGCUUUUCCUCGUCCAUUUCUGGCCACUCAUGUCAUCCAGCGUGGUCUGUCAUCUCUAUGAAUCACGGAUCCAUCCAAGGUAGUCUAUGGCAUUUUUCUAUAUUUAAUUAAUUAUUUAGUUCAUUAAUUAGUUACAUUUCUCUAGCUAAGACUAUGGGACAGGAACAGUGUUAGUGUCUAUUAACUAGCAUUAGCGGUAGGUAACUGUUAAUGUAACGUAAAUUAUGUUGUUAUUAUGUUAAGUUGUUACGAUAGCGUUAUAGGCCUAUCUAUCAUACGUUGUUAGGAUAGUUUACAAUGUUGACAGUCAUAUGAUAAUUGUAAUAACAAACUUGUUACAAUUGUGCUCUGUUGAAAAGAUGCCAUCAAUUGUGCUCUGUUUAAAAGAUGGCAUCAAUGAAGAAAAAAAGACAUCGGGCGAUGGGAGACGAGGUGUGGUAUGCCAACUCAGGGACCUGGCCCUCAGAAUUAGGUAACAGGCCUGGCACUAAGGUGAAAACAUGGCACGACCUCUAUAAAAAGAUUGAGAAAUGUCCGGCGCAGCUUAGGGGCCAGACAUCACUUUUUAUGGGUCAGGGUCAGCAGACAUGUGCAUGUGGUUUCCACUCUGCUGAGCCUAAAAGUGCAACACCAGCUCUCAAGGACACAGGUGUCACACCAUCAGGUCCAGGUCUGACCACUCAUAAGGCCACAGGUGCAACACCAUCAGGUCCAGGUCUGACCGCUCAUAAGGCCACAGGUGCCCCACUAGGAGCUCCUCCCGCUGCUGCACCUGGACCAUCAGGCACCUCCCCUUUCAAGCCCUGGAAAGUGCCGGAUAAACUGAGUCAAGUCCUGCCUAUUCUUUGAUCAAACUAUAUUCUUUUAUUGUUUUCUUGUCUAAUCUUUUAAUACUUCACAUUGACAUCCUCCUCCUUCACCACUGGCCCCACUGCCUCCUCCUCCACCACUGGCCCCACUGGUCCAGCCAUCAGAACUGGCUGUAGACAAACAUAACAUGCCAGGCAUGGACAAGGUGGACAGCCUAGCUGAGUUCCUGGUGGAUCUGCGUCAUGAGCCAUCCUUGACCCUUACCAACCAGCAGGCUGGCAGAAUUGUAAGUCUGUGGCAGAACCUGUUGCCGUAUGACCAACAACGUGUGGCCUUUGCUGCACGGAACCAAGAACGGCUCAACCAAGGACGGUUCCGUUCUCCUAAAAAGAAAAAGGACUUCACAGCAGGAGUGGACGGCAUGAAGCGCUGUGUGCUCAGUGCAUCUGGUUCCCCAGCACAGCGGCCGGACUGGAGGCCAUUUUUGUAAGGCUGUGUCCAAAGAAGGGCAAGUCACGAUGGGACUUCAUCAUACAGGACUGUACAGCCAGCGGUUAAAAAGGAUGAAAGGGUUCUUCUGCAAGGGAUCAACCUUCCACCUCCUCGCCCUGUUGCUGCUGAAGCACUUCCCUCAGCCAGCCUUCGCCCUGUUAUCCUUCCUCCAACCCCUGGUGUCCAGCUCAGUUACCAUCUGCCCCAGAGCACAGUAGGGCAAGCCAGGGUUAAGAGGCGAGCAGCAGAAGACCCUGUUGGUGCCCCACCUACCGUCUAUGCAAGACCUGUGGCCUACCAAGGCAGCUUUUCCCAAAGCCAGCAGCUGCCUCAGCCACACCACCUCCUGUUGUCUCUGCCCAUUUCCCUCCGCUUCCAUCUUUCCCUCAGAGCCCUGCCACUGAUUUUUCCCCUUCACCUGCUCCCUCAGUGCAUCCCUGCUAUCCCACACCAGCCCUCACCUGGCCCACAGAAACCCACCUCCAAGGCCAGGUUUAAUAAAUGAACAGUGGAGGCGAAUUCAUGCCGGAAAUGUGGACAGCAUACCAUGCUUAUUCCAAAUCCAAUUCCGGCCCGCGACCUAUGUCAAAAUAAUAAUGUAAUCCGGCCCUUGAGGGUAUUUUUAAUUGCGACAAACAAAGAUACUGAU
Long non-coding RNA from Alosa sapidissima (American shad), 2289 nucleotides. RefSeq lists it as uncharacterized. NCBI's taxonomy places the organism in Eukaryota, Metazoa, Chordata, Actinopteri, Clupeiformes, Clupeidae. The transcript has 4 exons. The record is from RefSeq and is a predicted model, not a curated record.